CCUGCCAUAUGCACUGAAUUCUUCAGAGGCAGUUUGGUUUUCUCCUGAAAUUUAGUUCUACCUGGGUUUCCUCCAGGCCUUUCCAUCAUCCCUAAUUCCAAGGAAACCCCAAGGAGACCAUUGGCUCUGGAUUGAGAAAGACAUAAGUUGGAAUCUCAAGUCUGCCCUCUUACUGCUUACAACCUUGGUGAUGGGCUGCAUAGCAGGACAUUUCAGGGAAUUCCCAGGUGAGGAAACUUCUUCGAACAAGGCAAGUUGCUACCUCCUCCUCAACUUCUAGUCUUGAAGAUGUACACAGAUCACUGAAGGGUCAAGUGUCUUCCCCAGAAAUGGUCAGAAGCAGGACUUACUUGAAGCCAUGUCUCUAAGGUCUGGGAAAACAUGGAAUCUUCUCCACCAUCAAAGGGAGAAUCUCAGUCUUUUGUUGAGGUUAGUUUGGGGUUGUAUAGAGGCCUUAAAGUCUCUCCCUCUUCCUCUCAUGCCCUUGGCUCUCUGUGUCUUUAAGAAAAAUGGAUCAAAACAUUAUUUGGCCAUUUGAAAGCAAUUUUAAUGUGGCUUAGUAAGUUUAUCCGGCUCUUAAAUUUUGGAGUUGGCUCCUAAAUCCAAAGCAAAUUGGUCAAGGUCUGUGGGAUUUCAUAGAACAAAGGGGCCAAAAGCACAGGCAGAAUUCCAUUCAAUUCUACUUGAUGACAGCUUU
Molecule: long non-coding RNA, 697 nt
Filed under: Monodelphis domestica (gray short-tailed opossum)
Lineage: Eukaryota; Metazoa; Chordata; Mammalia; Didelphimorphia; Didelphidae
Description: lncRNA (ENSMODG00000036844.1)
Source: RNAcentral